RNAcentral lists this transfer RNA (77 nucleotides) under Ensifer sp. ENS10. RNAcentral's name for it is "tRNA-Met". It matches the Rfam family "tRNA". From Rfam's summary of the family: Transfer RNA (tRNA) molecules are approximately 80 nucleotides in length. Their secondary structure includes four short double-helical elements and three loops (D, anti-codon, and T loops). Lineage: Bacteria; Pseudomonadati; Pseudomonadota; Alphaproteobacteria; Hyphomicrobiales; Rhizobiaceae. The record is from RNAcentral.
UGCGACGUAGCUCAGCCCGGUAGAGCGGUGGCCUCAUAAGCCUCAUGUCGGUGGUUCAAAUCCACCCGUUGCCACCA